GACGAACGCUGGCGGCGUGCUUAACACAUGCAAGUCGAACGGAAAGGCCCUGCUUUUGUGGGGUGCUCGAGUGGCGAACGGGUGAGUAACACGUGAGUAACCUGCCCUUGACUUUGGGAUAACUUCAGGAAACUGGGGCUAAUACCGGAUAGGAGCUCCUGCUGCAUGGUGGGGGUUGGAAAGUUUCGGCGGUUGGGGAUGGACUCGCGGCUUAUCAGCUUGUUGGUGGGGUAGUGGCUUACCAAGGCUUUGACGGGUAGCCGGCCUGAGAGGGUGACCGGCCACAGUGGGACUGAGAUACGGCCCAGACUCCUACGGGAGGCAGCAGUGGGGAAUAUUGCACAAUGGGCGGAAGCCUGAUGCAGCAACGCCGCGUGCGGGAUGACGGCCUUCGGGUUGUAAACCGCGUUCGCCUGUGACGAAGCGUGAGUGACGGUAAUGGGUAAAGAAGCACCGGCUAACUACGUG
RNAcentral lists this ribosomal RNA (468 nucleotides) under uncultured bacterium. Its description in RNAcentral is "partial 16S ribosomal RNA". It matches the Rfam family "Bacterial small subunit ribosomal RNA", at positions 28 to 507 of the family's 1533-position model. The record is from RNAcentral.